This 240-nucleotide long non-coding RNA is filed under the name Mytilus galloprovincialis (Mediterranean mussel). Lineage: Eukaryota; Metazoa; Mollusca; Bivalvia; Mytilida; Mytilidae. The record is from RNAcentral.
CAAACACAUCAAACGAAUGGAUAACAACUGUCAUAUUCCUGACUUGGUACAGGCAUUUUCUAAUGUAGAAAAUGGGGGAUUGAACCUGGUUUUAUAGCUAGCUAAACCUCUCACUUGUAUGACAGUCGCAUCAAAUUCCAUUACAUUGUCAACGAUGCAUGAACAAAACAAACAUACUCAAAGAGUAAAAAUGUCAAAAAUAGGGGUACAGCAGUCAAUAUUGUGUUAUCAUCUUAAUAU